GGCAGCGAAUAGCUGCGUCCUCGCCAGCGCCUCCCCAUAAUUUACGGCCCAAAAAGGUGGAAGAAAUAACACUCGUCCCCCAGAAAAACUGAGAUUUAUUUAUCAGUGAGAGAGCAGUUAAGAACUUCCCCCCUCUUUAUUUGAUUUGGUAGAAUCCCAGCCUUACCAUUUCUGACAUGUGUGAGGGGGGAACUCUCCCCAGAUAAGAACUCUAAAUGUCUCCCCCAUAUUUCACCGAGUUCUGAUUAUUCAUAGGCUAUACUAGAGUUAACUUGAAUCUCUUUAGACAUGAAGAGGCGUUCAGUGGAUAAUUUAAAGUUGUCGUAUUCCAGGCUCCUCGCCGCUUGCAAAGGGCAAUGGUUCCAGAAGCAGUGCUGGAAGAUAUCUGUUCAACACCUUGGACACUGGCCUAUGGGAUCCCACAGUCUUCCAUCUUUGCUCCUGGGUUCUUUAAUAUCUACAUGAGGUAUGGAGAGCUUACACUCCCAUUUUGCAAGCUUGAGUCCUGAAGACAGUAAUGGACUGGAUCGGGUAAACAAACUGAAUAUUAAUUCAGACAAGACAAAUGUUAGUAGAGCUAACCUUGGAACCAGUGUUGGGUGGGAAUAACACUCCCCUUGAAAAUGCAGAUUUGUUGCGUGGGGAUUUUUCUGAACUUGGAUAUUUAGGUAUCUACUGUGGCCAUCUAUUGUAUUUAUUGUUAGCAAAUUCUUUUUAAAAUUGUGCUUAUUAUUUCAACAUACCUUGCUAGCUGCCAUGGGCUCACUGAGGAAAGGUGGAGUAUUAAUGUUUUAAAUACAGUACAUAAUAAAUAGCAGCAUUCUUACUGUUCUUUCUUUUUCUGCUAGGGAAUGAAACCUUUAGAAAUUUAACCCAUAAGCUGAAUGGGGAUGUUCUUAUUUUGACCAGUCAAAGCACUUCCCAGUAAGCACUUGUGAAAUUGUCCUAAUACACUCAGGAUCUUUGCACUGUCAAGAACAAGCAAAUCAAAUGAGAG
Long non-coding RNA from Zootoca vivipara (common lizard), 997 nucleotides. RefSeq lists it as uncharacterized. The record is from RefSeq and is a predicted model, not a curated record. Lineage: Eukaryota; Metazoa; Chordata; Lepidosauria; Squamata; Lacertidae.